Non-coding RNA from Myotis lucifugus (little brown bat), 72 nucleotides. The record is from Rfam. NCBI's taxonomy places the organism in Eukaryota, Metazoa, Chordata, Mammalia, Chiroptera, Vespertilionidae.
GCCGGUUUGGCUCAGUGGAUAGAGCGUUGGCCUGCAGGCCAAAAGGUCCCGGUUCGAUUCCGGUCAAGGGCA